CAGCCGCCGCGGGAAUACAGAGGGUGCGAGCUUUAAUCGGAUUUACUGGGCGUAAAGCGUGCGUAGGCGGCUUUUUAAGUCGGAUGUGAAAUCCCUGAGCUUAACUUAGGAAUUGCAUUCGAUACUGGGAAGCUAGAGUAUGGGAGAGGAUGGUAGAAUUCCAGGUGUAGCGGUGAAAUGCGUAGAGAUCUGGAGGAAUACCGAUGGCGAAGGCAGCCAUCUGGCCUAAUACUGACGCUGAGGUACGAAAGCAUGGGGAGCAAACAGGAUUAGAUACCCCUGUAGUCCCUGUCUCUUAUAC
This 301-nucleotide ribosomal RNA is filed under the name uncultured bacterium. Its description in RNAcentral is "partial 16S ribosomal RNA". It matches the Rfam family "Bacterial small subunit ribosomal RNA", at positions 509 to 807 of the family's 1533-position model. The record is from RNAcentral.